Molecule: ribosomal RNA, 497 nt
Filed under: uncultured bacterium
Lineage: Bacteria
Description: partial 16S ribosomal RNA
Rfam family: Bacterial small subunit ribosomal RNA
Source: RNAcentral
GACGAACGCUGGCGGCGUGCCUAAUACAUGCAAGUUGAGCGCUGAAGGUUGGUACUUGUACCAACUGGAUGAGCAGCGAACGGGUGAGUAACGCGUGGGGAAUCUGCCUUUGAGCGGGGGACAACAUUUGGAAACGAAUGCUAAUACCGCAUAAAACCUUUAAAACAAAGUUUUAGGUUUGAAAGAUGCAAUUGCUUCCCUAAAGAAUAAUCCCGCGUUGUAUUAGCUAGUUGGUGAGGUAAAGGCUAACCAAGGCGAUGAUCAAUAGCCGACCUGAGAGGGUGAUCGGCCACAUUGGGACUGAGACACGGCCCAAACUCCUACGGGAGGCAGCAGUAGGGAAUCUUCGGCAAUGGACGAAAGUCUGACCGAGCAACGCCGCGUGAGUGAAGAAGGUUUUCGGAUCGUAAAACUCUGUUGGUAGAGAAGAACGUUGGUGAGAGUGGAAAGCUCAUCAAGUGACGGUAACUACCCAGAAAGGGACGGCUAACUACGUG